AUUCCAGCUCCAAUAGCGUAUAUUAAAGUUGUUGCAGUUAAAAAGCUCGUAGUUGGAUUUCUGUUCUUGGGGAGCGGUCCGCCGCAAGGUGAGCGCUGCAGCUCUGGGGACAUCCUCUCGAAGGCGGGUGGUGCACUUAAUUGUGUGCUGCUUGGAUUCGGGACCUUUACUUUGAAAAAAUUAGAGUGUUCAAAGCAGGCGUCGGCUUGAAUACAUUAGCAUGGAAUAAUGGAAUAGGACUUUGGUUCUAUUUUGUUGGUUUCUAGGACCGAAGUAAUGAUUAAUAGGGACAGUUGGGGGCAUUAGUAUUUAAUUGUCAGAGGUGAAAUUCUUGGAUUUAUGAAAGACUAACUACUGCGAAAGCAUUUGCCAAGGAUGUUUUCAUUA
This 387-nucleotide ribosomal RNA is filed under the name Choanoflagellata sp. Its description in RNAcentral is "partial small subunit ribosomal RNA". It matches the Rfam family "Eukaryotic small subunit ribosomal RNA", at positions 582 to 975 of the family's 1831-position model. The record is from RNAcentral. Lineage: Eukaryota; Choanoflagellata.